Molecule: ribosomal RNA, 154 nt
Filed under: uncultured bacterium
Lineage: Bacteria
Description: partial 16S ribosomal RNA
Rfam family: Bacterial small subunit ribosomal RNA
Source: RNAcentral
UCGCGCAUCAGCCAUGGCGCGGUGAAUACGUUCCCGGGCCUUGUACACACCGCCCGUCAAGCCAUGGGAGCCGGGGGGUGCCUGAAGUUCGUUACCGCAAGGAUCGACCUAGGGCAAAAACUGGUGACUGGGGGCUAAGUCGUAACAAGGUACC